UUUGCCUGCCUAUCACCAACAGAGGCUGCAGAACAGCAAAGAUUGCUGUCUGUAACUUCCUCUGGAAGCUUCAUCCCAGAGGGGCACCUGCCAGAUGCCAGCCGGAGCUCUCCUCUAUGAGUGAAUGAAGGAGGGAAGAAAGGAGAGACAGAGAAAAUAUGGAUUUCCUCAUGGUUGUGAUUCCUCUUCACUCUUUUGAAUUUGGAAGGAUGGCAUACACAUCUGAAAAAUACCACUACUUCCUUCAUUGGACUGCAAGGUAUUUCUGUUUGGAAAAGUAAUGGAGUCCAGUCAACUUCAUUGAUCGCCAAGGACUGUCAAAAUUAUAAAACUUGCUGUGGAGCUCUGACAUGCCAGAAGCCGCUAGAAAAAGAAGUUUGACAUUCAGAAACUUAUCAAGAGGUUCUACUCUUUGGAUAGAGACCAAAAUCAUACUUUGAAAAAGCCUGACAGGUUUCUUCGGAAAAGUGGCCAUCCAUGGAAUGAAUGAAAUGUUCUCUUUCUAUUCCAGGGAUUGCAGUGGCAAAGCUAGGCUAGGUCUUGGAGGCUGGUGUAAGGCGAUGUGGGUGAAGGCAGGAGGCUGAUGGAAAGACUGGGGGGAAGAAAAGCCGAAAUGGAUUCACGGUGCCUUGGAUGAAGGACGAGAGGGGAACUGCAAGCUCCUUCAACUGGUUCUGUCCGGUGAGAAGUGAUCAAGCUUGGGCUGACAAGAGGCUCAGGGAGCCCUCACGUUCUUUCGCUUUUUUACCUGCCAAUCAAACUGCUACAAGACAACACCCUGAUCUGGCAUGGACAUCGCGGGUCCAAGCCUGUAGCCCCAAAUCGGAUAAUCUCUGCAGCUGAUAACAAGCAAAAGAGAAGCCAGGCAACAGCCAUAUUAAAGAAGAAAACAAUCAACUCUGAGAUCCAACUUAGAAAUAAUGUUUCAUUCAAGAUAAGGCUCGUGGCUUAGGAGAUUGUGACCUGGCUUGCAUCAUUCUAAGACUUCUAUCGUCUGUUUUCAAAACCCAAGGAGGACCUCCUUUUCUGUGUGAUAGUUCCUCAUGCUUUGCCAGCCACUGGGUCUUUAAGGAAGCUUGCCAAGAGUUCCCGGCUGGGAAGGACAGUUCGAGUUCAUCAUAGACAAUGAGCUGGCACCACAGUUUAAGUGACUCACCAACCUGGUUGCCCACUUCAAAAUGUCAAGAACCACACUAUCUAAUUGAAAGAACUGUGUUUUAGCAAAGUGUAAUUGGAUCGCCUGGCAAGAUCAUCUCAAACUAUGUCUCUGACCUUGCCUUUCAGUGGCUAUUUUGAGCACAAGAGGAGAAAGGAAAUGAUUCCUGAAUUAUAUCUUGUUUUUAAAAAUUAAGAUUAAUUAAUACUUGGUUUUAUGUUCAUUCCAUUGUAGGAACUUAGUGAUUAUUACAAAACAGUCAAAAUAGGUCAUAGCAAAAUGAACGUUUAAGAUUAGGUUAAAACAUUCCUCUGAAAUUUUAGUAUUCACUUUUGAAGUGUCAAUUACUAUAUUUCUGUAAUUUCUCAUUUUUUUCUUGGCUUAGAGUCAAGAUGAAAAAUGAUAUUUGAAUCAAAGACAUUGUUUUGUUAUAUAGCCACUCCUUUCUAAAAUGCAAAUCCACCCUCCCCUCACCAAUGCUUUAUUCUUUGUGCGCGCACACACACACACACACACACACACACACACACACACACACAGACAUACACAGAACCAGCACCCAAAUGGUAGAGGAGGUCCUUCCAAGACUUCUAGGACCUGGAUCAUGUAAGCAGUAGAUGAGAAAAUGAAGUAAGAGAUAUAGAGUAAUAACAAUAAAAGUCAAUGAUUUCAUUUUACAAAAAAGUCAUUGUGUAGUACUCAGAUAUUUUUAAGAGCAAGUAUUAUUAUGACUAAAGUAUAUUAUACUUCUAAAUUAUUAUGAUUCUCAUCUAAUUUCAAGCCACACAUAGGCGCCAUUUGAAAGCAUUUUGUGUUACAACCUAUCAACAAAAAUCAACUAAUAGUUUUAUAACGUGCAUAGGUUUACCCCAUGGGGAAUUAAAAUUUUUAUCUGCAAGUAUUUCUGUUGUUGUGAGACUUUAGGACAAGACAACAUUUGGUGUUAACAUAGAAGAAUAUUCUAUGGCUUUUUUAGCUUUAAAGUUCAUUACUCUAAAAUAAAGUACACGUGGUAUUUUUUUCUUCCUAGUGUUCUCUUAUUAUAUGUAGAGUAUUUUCGGUUGUUGUUUUUAACGUAUACAUUAUUUUUAUUAAGUCAUUUCAUAAAAGAUAAGAUAUAUACUAAUAGACCCUUGGUUUUCUCCUAAUUUAAUUAUUUCAAGUCAAGCAAAAUUGGGCAAUUUUCUUUCAGGAAAAAAAAAAUAUUGAGCAUGAUUUUGAGGUAAAACUGAUUAUUUACAGCAUCUUUUCUCUAAUAGGCUAACAUUUAUGAUGGAUCUUAUUUCAAAGUUGAUUAUUCUCAAAGAAAAGUGGAGAUAUUAGAAUUUCCGAGUAAAUUGCAUUGUUUUAAAAAGUACUUUAAUGCAUUGUUCACAUUGUUGCCAGCUAUUGACCAAAAAAGAGAAGAAGAAAAAAGAAAUAAAAAAAGCAGUAUCUGCUCCAAACGUCAAGUUUUGCAGUUUGAAAGACUUGUACAUUAUAAUUGUUUUUUUCUUUUUUGGAAAGCAGUAGUAAUUAAUACCAAAGGCAUAGACAAUUUAGGGCCAUAACCUCCCUUCCCCCCUCUCCACCUUUUUUUUUUUUUUUUUUUUUUUUUAACUUUAACCAUGAUAGGCAUCUCUGCAAGGUAGGUUUUAACAUAUUUUUUUCCUAAUUUUUUUCCCUCCAUUCAGUAAGAAGGAUAAGCUUUUAGAGUACCCAGUCACCGUGGUAACUGCCAAAAAAAUUCUCCUGAAGUUUGAAGAGGUCAGCUAGCAGGGUCAACAACCCUGGCCUCUCUCUGAGCUCGGUCUAGCAUGCCCCAGCCUGCGGUUGGAGUGUCAGGCCAGAUCUGACCCUGGGAGGUGGACCAUUCUGGCUCUGAUAUAAAUUUUUCGAGUCAGUUCAUGGCCUGGACUCUCCAGGUGGCCUCCAAAAUCGAUUUUGACCCCCUGACCCUGUCUCACGGAGGCAUAGCAUCCACCCUAAGUAAGGAUUUAGCCAGGAAUGACAGCUUUCCACUGAGUGUUAUUGGGGACAGUAUAAACAGUUUGGAAAGCAAGUAAGGAGGUGUGAGGGCUAGCAAUCAUUAAAAGCACAUUAAAAAACAAUUUUUAAAAAUCUUUAUUAGAGAAAGUUGUAAAUGCAUAUCUGUUACAGAAUUCCUGUGAUUUGUAGAGUUUUCUAGUCAGUUUUGAAUAUAAAUAGGUCACAUAUCUUUAUCUUUUUGCAUACUUUGUUACAAAUAUGCAAAUAAGAUAGGCAUACUUGCUACAAAAUAGGUACAGCAGGAAUGUAAUAUGUUCAGAAAAGGCAAACUGGUUAUUAAAACACAUUAACAGGUAAGGAGUUUCUAAUAUUUUAAAUACUAAAAUUUUACAUGUGUAUUUUGAAGUUUUUAAAAUGGAAAAAUAAAGAACCUUUAAAAAACCCAACAGUGUGGAAUAAAGAUAAACUUGUUGCACUCAAGGUACAUUUCUACUUUGUAAAGCAAGAAGCCAAUACACUCAGUUGGAUAAAAAUGAGAGAAAAAUUGUAAAUAUAGAGAGUUACAGCUUAUAGAGCUGAAGAGGAAUAAAACAAAAAAAAGUGUCUCUGAAUAACUUUAUGUAUUUUCAACAGUUUAAGAUAUCAGAAACUUGGAAAAUAAAUAUGAUAUAUAUAUAAAUCAUCAGUGAUUAUUUCCUUUUCAUUCCCCCCCGCCCCCAGGAUGCCACCGUGAGUGUUUGAUUUUCUCUAGGAAAGUAGAAUUCUCUUUGAGAGUUCUAGCCUGUGAACUCAGUAUGUAAAUGUGGCCAUCAAGAAGACAGAACUGCCAAGAGGAAAGAUUAUGAAUGUUUUUCUUCCUUAAAACCAUUCACAGUGUUUCUUCUUCCAGUGCUUUACUCAGACUUCUCCCCUUUUCCCAGCUCUGUUGAAAAUGGCUUCAAAAGCAACACUGCAGUGGCUAAACCAAUUGUACUGUGAAGUUGUUGAGAUGCCAUUUCAUCUGAAUCCUUCGUAAAAAUUAGAUUUUUAAGUAGGGGUGAAUAUCCUUUUGGGAGAGGGAAUGGGAGGGUAGAAGAAGGGGGGAAAGGACAGAGCAG
RNAcentral lists this long non-coding RNA (4221 nucleotides) under Homo sapiens (human). RNAcentral describes it as "HSALNT0316549". The stretch from base 521 to 796 matches the Rfam family "SOX2 overlapping transcript exon 3". Lineage: Eukaryota; Metazoa; Chordata; Mammalia; Primates; Hominidae. The record is from RNAcentral.